Molecule: unclassified non-coding RNA, 207 nt
Filed under: Hevea brasiliensis (rubber tree)
Lineage: Eukaryota; Viridiplantae; Streptophyta; Magnoliopsida; Malpighiales; Euphorbiaceae
Source: RNAcentral
CUCCAUGCCAACUGUCAUUGUUAUAGGCCGCAAACUCACACCUCACCUUGAUCAUGAUGGCACCAAAGGAAACCCACAAAAUGGUGAGCCACAGCUCUCCGGGGUCUACCAAUUGCAUGAUAUGGGUUGGUCUUUGGCCCUAAAAAGGCCCAAAAAAGGCUUACUAUCGUGAUUCAGGACACGAACUUGAAGAUUGAAAAGUGAAGG